GAUUUGUCGCAUGGAUGCAUUUCUCAGGACACAUUUCCUGUUUGUGUCAGAUGAAGUCAGUGAGGCCUGGUGUCAAUGACGCUCUGGAUCUUCACACACCUGCCGGAGAUCCAGCAUCACACCUCGCAGCCCCAGAGUCGGACUGUGACCCAGAGUGCUCUGUCUCCUGGCCCAUGUCUCAUGUUGAUUGGUGGCCUCGUGUUGCCCGCUGAUCCAUUGUGAUGUCAUAUGUCUGUGCUGCUACCGGUUCCAUGGUAAACAGCCACUGAGGGAAGCUACAAAACCAGAAAGGUGUUUGGACUCUCAUUCUGGCGGCACCCACUCAAUGCAGAGGAUCCAUUGGUGAAAAAUGGGGCUGUAAAGUCGUGGUGGCAGUGCUGCAGUCCUGUGCUGCUCCCCUGAGCAAUUCCACAGCCUCUCAAACACAGAAGCAGCAUUUCAUGAAGAGAAGAAUGGUGUAGUUAUAGCAUUUUCCAGCAGAAGCUAACUGCUAACCACCAAAACCUGCUUUGAACCACACAGAACUACUGAAUGGAUCUGUUUAUUAACCCUUUAACCUCACUAGAAGCUCAUCAACACUCUGCUCAAUGUUUACUCCUCAAAAGGCCAGGAGUGAGCUGACACUGGCAACUUGUUCGUCUCAUUGCAAGACUCAUCAGCUGUGAAAUUCGCACAUGCUGUUCUGCUCACUGGGCUUUUCACCACAGGCAAAUGGCUUAUGAAGACAAUAAAAGGCAACAUGGAGGGUAAGGUAAUGGUUGAGAACAAUAACACCAGGAAGCACGGGGCCGGAUUUAGUGGCUGGUGCUGGUCUCAGCGUGUCCGCCAUGAAGGUGAUGGACCGCAAGAGACACAAGACAGCUUGCUGUUCUCCAUUUCAUCCCAUUUUCAUAAUCAUAAGGCGUCCUAGAGCUACAGCUCUGCCAAUAUUAUGUAGGCCACAUUGGGAGAAAACAUGAUUAUAUUACAGAAGAA
Long non-coding RNA from Cyprinus carpio carpio, 975 nucleotides. NCBI's taxonomy places the organism in Eukaryota, Metazoa, Chordata, Actinopteri, Cypriniformes, Cyprinidae. The record is from Ensembl.